Molecule: long non-coding RNA, 3541 nt
Organism: Peromyscus eremicus (cactus mouse)
Lineage: Eukaryota; Metazoa; Chordata; Mammalia; Rodentia; Cricetidae
Exons: 3
Source: RefSeq, a predicted model, not a curated record
CCGCAGCCCUUGCUGCAGACGCUGGGGAGUCAGGAGUCGCAGGAGGACGAGCAUUGGAGGAGAAGCAGAGAGAUGUCCACCCUGGGCUGGUGGCGCCGCUGGGCGCCCGGUUCAGUGUGGGCGCACUAGACUGCCGACCUCGGUCGGGGUGUGUGAACGGAGUGCGGUGCUCCGGAGCUCGGCCUUCUUGAUCUUCUGUCCUUCUUGAGACAACUGGCAAGAGGAAGACUAACUAGGUCCUCCAACAGCUAAGUGGCUGGUCCAGGUGAGUUAUACUCACACCUCAGAGGACCACACCCUACCUCACACUGACAUUUUCCUGAUGUACAUAUAUGCCACACAACCAUAAGAACACCAUUUGUACUCUCUGGGAACACACAUACCUGUCUGGUGGGUCAUGAAAUUGCUAGAAUUUCCCCUCUUAGCCUUACUCCCUCCUUUCCAGUCUCUUCUUUCCUCCCUGACGCUCAGACACUCCUUCAGGCUUCCUGUUUGCCUUUUGCUGGGUGAUUUAAGAAGCAGGAGAAAUUCUAUUUACCUGCCACCACCCUAGAGUAUUCUUUGUGCCAUGUACUAGGUACACCAUCUCAACUAGGAAAGGAAGUAUUUUCAUGGAGUAUUAAUGGGGGAAUUAAAAAUGUAUAAAACAUGAUUGUAUAGUUUAUGCCCUUGAAAGUACACAUUUGUACAGAGAAAUUAACUUAAUCAGGAAGAGGCCAGAUGGGGCCUCCCUAAGAUACUCAGGAACCUUAAUGAGCUCUGAAGAUUAUAAAUGGUAUGUUUCACGGGGAGAAUAGACUGAUCAGAGGGGUCAAAGAUGUUCCUGAGGGAUGCAGAGAGGAGCUGAAAACCCAGGAUGUCUGGAGCAAGAGAAGAGACGAUAACUGACCAAAAGGUAAGAAAAGGUAAGUGGGAGGGCUUCAUUACGAGGCCUUCAAAAUCAGUGGUAAGUAUUUGGGCUUAACCAGAAAUGCAGUGGGAAGCCACUGAGGCGUCUGAACCACAGGAGUGACGUGAAGAUCACAUGAACACUUGUAGGGAUCAUCUGGUUGCAAGUUGCCGAGGGCAGAGUAGCCAUACUUGGUUCGGGGAGAACACCUUGAGUUCGGGUGAGAGAUGCUUGGCUUAGAGUCCCACCGCUGGAAGACGAGAAGGGGGCAUGUCGGAGUGGUGCCAAGAAGGGAGACCUUACAGAACUUGCUCCCUUUUUUACUAGUUUGCUGACUGAUUCAGACCAGACAUGAUGAAUCACAUGAUGAGGAGAAGUGAGCAGACUAUCCAAAGGUUGUGCAUUUGUUCAAUCCAUCCGCAAGUGUUGAUACUCAGCCUAUUUGGGACAGAAUCAUGCCAGACUCUGGCACUCCAGAAGUGAGUGAUAUAAUCCCUACUGAAUGAGAACUCCUUUUACCUGGAAAGUAAGGAAAUGUGCUUAGCAAAAUAGCUGGCUAUGCUUGCAGGGGAGCGCUGCCUGGGGAGGGGCUAACACGCAGAGCGGGGCCCCUGGAGCUGGGUUGGUGUUUUCCUGGCCCACAUGAAGGCCCCAGGGAUCCAGGAGGGUGUUCAAGCCUGCAAAGAGCUAGAGAUCUUCCUUUACUGAAGGAUUUGUGUGCGUAGACCCACAUUUUCAAAGCUCAGGGACUUUACUUAAAACUAUAGUGACAUGGGAACUGAAAAAAAAAAUGCUCCUGUUCCCUCAAAUCCAGUUCAGAAAUUCAUGGUGGGAGAGGAAAUAGCAGGGACCCAACUAUAGGAAAGUGUGUGAUCAGCAAAUUCUCUCCCUGUAGGCAAACCUACAUGGGAAAUGAAAGCAUAAUGAGGAGGUUGAUGGGUGAGUAUGAAAUCAGAACAAAAGGGGUAGAAGAUAGCACUGGCCUUUAAGACAGCCUAGUGCGGCCACCUGGUCAUUGUGAUGCUGGUUGCUAUGGCGAUCAGAAGACCAGACUCCUCAUUUAUUGCCCCUAUUCUCCACCAUCUCCAUUCAGGCUAGGUCUGAUUAGAGAAGAUCUCUUGCCUGUAGAUGGUUGGAUUAGCCAUGCAUUGUGACUUAAAUUCCCAUGCCCCUCUCCCCUAAAAUAAAUAAGAUCAGCUGGCCAUUCAGGUCAAACAUGUCACGCUGGUCUAGAAGACAUUUUGUGUCUUUGAGUGCUGAUCAUGAAACUUGAACACUUAGCUAUUAUUUCCUCUCUUUCUGAACUUUGGGGAAACCCCUCAAGAAUGGACAACAAUAAGGAGAUUUGGCUGGAGUGUGAAAGAGGCAGGAGACUGGAGCAAACGAGAAGAGAGGAGAGACUGCACACCAUGCUGUCCCUGAGAGAUGACAAGAGUAACCUCCUCGGUUCCUGACUUUAAAGUUCUCAAUUCCAGCCCCCUUUAAAUGAGGUAGGUAGAAUGAGUUAGUGGGCUGAAUGUAGGUGCGCCAUGAUGAGGGCACAAAGUAAGUAAGUAGAAAUGGGGUAGGAGGAGACGGGGUGGAGCUUAUCUUUCCUCUGGUGGGGAUGUGGGAACAUGAGACCAAAGACUGGAAAGUCACGUGAUUUCUCUCAUCACACACAGUCCCAGACACAUUUAGCCUCUAAUGUGUGUGUCCCUAUUCAUCAGAAUGCUCACCCAUGGUCUCUUCGUGGACAAAAAAAAAAAUCCACCCCACUCCCCAUUUGGGAUAAAAUACCUAAUAAAUUCUAUCUUUUUUUUACAUUAUGCUAAUUUACAUGCCCACUCUUCUAAUUUUGAAGUGACAUAGAAGUAAAGUCUUAUAAAAUAUUCAAAGAUUGGCAUCAGCAUUACCAUACAUACCACAAUGGCAAUGCCACUGACCUGUGGUUGUACAUAUUCCAGGUCGUAAGUUGAACUUAUUCUCCAUACAGAAGACUAUUUCAUGCCUCUGUGUUUAUGAACAACUCUUCAAAAGUGGGAGAAUAGCCAGUAUCCUUCUCUGCCCAGCAUGGGAAGGGCAGGUUCAUUACUAGCCCACAUCACUUGGCUUUUCUCUUUAGCUUCCCUUGGUCCUAGCUCAGAGUCAGGCUAGUAGUAUCUGUGGGCGACUCAGGUGUCUUUGGCCAGUAUCCACUUAUGCUAAGGUUCCUGCAUGAAGAGAAAGCAGAGGGGUAGGGGAGAGUCAAGACAUGAAAGAAAUAGGUUUUCCAUGGGGCCAGGAUUCAGUCUUGGUCUGUAAAGAGGAUGAAAUAAGAGUCGGGGAGGGGGGAGUUCAAAGCCCCCCUUGAGCUUGAGUGCUCUUCACUGGGGAAGAGAAGCAAAUGGCAGCAGGGUGUCCCAGGCAGGCUUGGGGAGACACAGGAUUGAGAGAGGAAGGGGGCCUUGUCAUGGGGAUCCCAGCAGAGCAGUGGGAAGGCUGGUGAGCCAGAAUAAACUAGGUAAAAGAAAAAAAGAAACAUUAGAUUUAUUUCUAAUUUUUCAAAUAGUUUUUUUUUAUUUUAAACUUUAUUAUAAAAAAGUUGCAAAUUUUAAAAAAAUCACACACAUAGAUAAACCGCACCCAAAGACUGACUGUGAAUUUAAAAUAACACCCUAAAUAGACGUUGGG